GCGCGAAAACUUUACAAUGCUGGCAACAGCGAUAAGGGAACCUCGAGUGCCAGGUUACAAAUCUGGCUGUCGAGAUGCCUAAAAAGCAUUUCAUAGCAAGGGCCGGGCAAGACCGGUGCCAGCCGCCGCGGUAACACCGGCGGCUCGAGUGGUAACCGUUAUUAUUGGGUCUAAAGGGUCUGUAGCCGGCCGGAUAAGUCUCUUGAGAAAUCUGGCAGCUUAACUGUCAGGCUUUCAGGAGAUACGGUGUGGCUCGAGGCCGGGAGAGGUGAGAGGUACUUCAGGGGUAGGGGUGAAAUCUUGUAAUCCUUGAAGGACCACCAGUGGCGAAGGCGUCUCACCGGAACGGACCUGACGGCAAGGGACGAAAGCUAGGGGCACGAACC
This 386-nucleotide ribosomal RNA is filed under the name uncultured prokaryote. RNAcentral's name for it is "bacterial SSU rRNA". It matches the Rfam family "Archaeal small subunit ribosomal RNA", at positions 339 to 725 of the family's 1478-position model. The record is from RNAcentral.